UACGAAGGGGGCUAGCGUUGUUCGGAAUUACUGGGCGUAAAGCGCGUGCAGGCGGGUCUUUAAGUCAGGGGUGAAAUGCCAAGGCUCAACCUUGGAACUGCCUUUGAUACUGGAGACCUUGAGUCCGGGAGAGGUGAGUGGAAUUGCGAGUGUAGAGGUGAAAUUCGUAGAUAUUCGCAAGAACACCAGUGGCGAAGGCGGCUCACUGGCCCGGAACUGACGCUGAGAUGCGAAAGCGUGGGGAGCAAACAGG
This 253-nucleotide ribosomal RNA is filed under the name uncultured bacterium. Its description in RNAcentral is "partial 16S ribosomal RNA". It matches the Rfam family "Bacterial small subunit ribosomal RNA", at positions 524 to 776 of the family's 1533-position model. The record is from RNAcentral.